UUUUUAGGUUGUUUUCAAGUGUUUUGGUAGUGUGUGAAAGUGUCCUUUGAAGUUUAAAACCAUAGAGAGCAAUGGUAUGCUUUGAAAACGAAAAUGUGUUUGUUUUGUGAAAAAUAGUGUAUUUAACUUCGGGAAUUUUUAAUCACUAUGGGGAGGACUCGGAAAUAAUAUCCGAGAGUGUUAGGAAGUGCCUUAGACACCUCUAGACCUUUCACUACAAAAAAUAUGUUGACUUACGACACAUGGAUUCUGGCAGUUUAGAAGAACCGUCGCCGCUAUGUUAAUAUUUG
This 290-nucleotide long non-coding RNA is filed under the name Trifolium pratense (red clover). RNAcentral's name for it is "long non-coding RNA (TPRA_LNC009076)". Lineage: Eukaryota; Viridiplantae; Streptophyta; Magnoliopsida; Fabales; Fabaceae. The record is from RNAcentral.